This 99-nucleotide signal recognition particle RNA is filed under the name Alphaproteobacteria bacterium. Its description in RNAcentral is "signal recognition particle sRNA small type". It matches the Rfam family "Bacterial small signal recognition particle RNA". Rfam says of the family: The signal recognition particle (SRP) is a universally conserved ribonucleoprotein involved in the co-translational targeting of proteins to membranes. Archaeal SRP consists of a 7S RNA and homologues of the eukaryotic SRP19 and SRP54 proteins. The record is from RNAcentral. Lineage: Bacteria; Pseudomonadati; Pseudomonadota; Alphaproteobacteria.
CGGAGGGCCGGCACGGGCGGAGGCGCGACCGAACCCGGUCAGGUCCGAGAGGAAGCAGCCGCAGGCGCAUUCUUCCGGGUCGUGUCCGGUCUUCCAUUU